Molecule: ribosomal RNA, 1689 nt
Filed under: Salmonella enterica subsp. enterica serovar Infantis
Lineage: Bacteria; Pseudomonadati; Pseudomonadota; Gammaproteobacteria; Enterobacterales; Enterobacteriaceae
Description: partial 23S ribosomal RNA
Rfam family: Bacterial large subunit ribosomal RNA
Source: RNAcentral
GAAACCGUGUACGUACAAGCAGUGGGAGCACAGGUUUACCUGUGUGACUGCGUACCUUUUGUAUAAUGGGUCAGCGACUUAUAUUCUGUAGCAAGGUUAACCGAAUAGGGGAGCCGGAGGGAAACCGAGUCUUAAUUGGGCGUUAAGUUGCAGGGUAUAGACCCGAAACCCGGUGAUCUAGCCAUGGGCAGGUUGAAGGUUGGGUAACACUAACUGGAGGACCGAACCGACUAAUGUUGAAAAAUUAGCGGAUGACCUGUGGCUGGGGGUGAAAGGCCAAUCAAACCGGGAGAUAGCUGGUUCUCCCCGAAAGCUAUUUAGGUAGCGCCUCGUGAAUUCAUCUCCGGGGGUAGAGCACUGUUUCGGCUAGGGGGCCAUCCCGGCUUACCAACCCGAUGCAAACUGCGAAUACCGGAGAAUGUUAUCACGGGAGACACACGGCGGGUGCUAACGUCCGUCGUGAAGAGGGAAACAACCCAGACCGCCAGCUAAGGUCCCAAAGUCAUGGUUAAGUGGGAAACGAUGUGGGAAGGCCCAGACAGCCAGGAUGUUGGCUUAGAAGCAGCCAUCAUUUAAAGAAAGCGUAAUAGCUCACUGGUCGAGUCGGCCUGCGCGGAAGAUGUAACGGGGCUAAACCAUGCACCGAAGCUGCGGCAGCGAACGUAUCACUUAAAGCGAUUCAGCGGGUUACGAUUGACGGAGCGAAGCGACGUCAAAGCGUAUACAAAGUCGAGUCGGUUUAAGGAUACGUUCGUUGGGUAGGGGAGCGUUCUGUAAGCCUGUGAAGGUGUGUCGUGAGGCAUGCUGGAGGUAUCAGAAGUGCGAAUGCUGACAUAAGUAACGAUAAAGCGGGUGAAAAGCCCGCUCGCCGGAAGACCAAGGGUUCCUGUCCAACGUUAAUCGGGGCAGGGUGAGUCGACCCCUAAGGCGAGGCCGAAAGGCGUAGUCGAUGGGAAACGGGUUAAUAUUCCCGUACUUGGUGUUACUGCGAAGGGGGGACGGAGAAGGCUAUGUUGGCCGGGCGACGGUUGUCCCGGUUUAAGCGUGUAGGUGUGUGUUCCAGGUAAAUCCGGUUCACUUUAACACUGAGGCGUGAUGACGAGGCACUACGGUGCUGAAGCAACAAAUGCCCUGCUUCCAGGAAAAGCCUCUAAGCAUCAGGUAACAUCAAAUCGUACCCCAAACCGACACAGGUGGUCAGGUAGAGAAUACCAAGGCGCUUGAGAGAACUCGGGUGAAGGAACUAGGCAAAAUGGUGCCGUAACUUCGGGAGAAGGCACGCUGACAUGUAGGUGAAGUGAUUUACUCAUGGAGCUGAAGUCAGUCGAAGAUACCAGCUGGCUGCAACUGUUUAUUAAAAACACAGCACUGUGCAAACACGAAAGUGGACGUAUACGGUGUGACGCCUGCCCGGUGCCGGAAGGUUAAUUGAUGGGGUCAGCGCAAGCGAAGCUCCUGAUCGAAGCCCCGGUAAACGGCGGCCGUAACUAUAACGGUCCUAAGGUAGCGAAAUUCCUUGUCGGGUAAGUUCCGACCUGCACGAAUGGCGUAAUGAUGGCCAGGCUGUCUCCACCCGAGACUCAGUGAAAUUGAACUCGCUGUGAAGAUGCAGUGUACCCGCGGCAAGACGGAAAGACCCCGUGAACCUUUACUAUAGCUUGACACUGAACAUUGAGCCUUGAUGUGUAG